Diorhabda carinulata is the source of this 5477-nucleotide RNA transcript. It is a transcript of the gene named UDP-N-acetylhexosamine pyrophosphorylase-like, with no coding region annotated. NCBI's taxonomy places the organism in Eukaryota, Metazoa, Arthropoda, Insecta, Coleoptera, Chrysomelidae. The record is from RefSeq and is a predicted model, not a curated record. The transcript is spliced from 3 exons.
AACACUGUAAGAAUCUUCUAUCCUAAACAGAUGUUUAAUAUUAAUUCUGAUUUGUGUCUUAAAUGAUAUAACGAUUGUUAUUGUUGUAAUGAAAAAACUUUUCUUCCAAUUAGGAUGUUUAAAAAAUUCCUUGGAGUUGAAGAAAAUGAUUUUAUUAAUUUUUCAGUGAUAAGUGACGGUGUGGGUUGCAAAGAACCAUAUUCCUGAACACGUCGACAAAAUGUAGACGACGAAUACACUUUGAGGUUAUAUUUGUAUAGAGUUUAAACAGAAAAUGUCAUUAAACGAAAUUGAAGACACUCUUUUUGCUUACAACCAGCAACAUCUAAUUCAAUAUUGGAAAGAACUGACUGAAGAAGACCAGUUAUCGUUAAUAACACAACUCAAAAAUAUCAAUUUUAAUAAUGUCAGUAAUCUGUUUCAAAAAGCUCAAACUUACAUUCAAGAAGGUAUACAAAAACUUGAUGAUCACAUGAAACCAGUGCCUAGAAACAAAUUUGAAGCAGAAUUGAAAUUGGACACGAAGGUAUUAGAAGAAUACUUUUUACUGGGAUUAAAAGAAAUUUCAAAAGGUCAUGUAGGAGUCAUUCUUUUAGCAGGAGGACAGGGUUCAAGAUUAGGUGUUACUUACCCAAAAGGAAUGUUUCCUCUUGAAUUGCCCUCGGGUAAGACCUUAUUUCAAAUCCAAGCUGAACGAAUACGAAGAAUACAAAAACUUGCUGAAGAAAGAACAGGAAAGUAUGGAAAAAUAUGUUGGUUUAUUAUGACUAGUGAAGAAAAUCAUGAACCCACAGAGAAUUAUUUCAAUAAACAUGGGUAUUUUGGUCUUAACAAAGAAGAUGUGAUUCUAUUCCGACAAGGAUUAUUACCAUGUUUCACAUUUGAUGGUAAAAUUAUAUUGGAAGAUAAAAAUAGAAUCGCUCUUGCCCCAGAUGGUAAUGGAGGAAUUUAUAAAGCUCUACAAAAAAAUCAUAUAGUGGAACAUAUGAAGAAAAGAAACAUAAAAUAUGUUCACGUCCACAGUGUUGAUAACAUCUUGGUGAAAGUAGCCGACCCCAGCUUUAUUGGGUACUGUGUGAAGAAAGGAGCUGACUGUGGAGCUAAAGUAAUACCUAAAGAAAAUCCUCAUGAUGCCUUAGGUGUAGUAUGUGAAGUUAAUGGAAAAUUCCAAGUAGUUGAAUACAGUGAGAUAACCGAUAAAACAGCAAAUUUAAGGAAUGAGGAAGGCGAACUAGUUUUCAGUGCCGGUAGUAUUUGUAAUCAUUUUUUUACUAGUGAUUUCUUAGAAAAGGCUUCAACUGUGUAUGAAAAAGAAUUGAAGCCACAUGUAGCUAAGAAGAAGAUUCCAUAUAUUGAUGAAAGUGGUAACAGAAUACAACCUAAAACUCCAAAUGGUGUAAAAAUCGAAAAAUUCAUUUUCGACGUUUUUGAAUAUUCUCAAAACUUUGUGACUUGGGAAGUGCCUCGAAAUGCUGAAUUCAGUCCUUUAAAGAACUGCGAAAGCGUUCAUAAAGAUUGUCCAUCAACAUGCAAGAGAGAUCUUUUGUUAUUGCAUAAAUCAUACAUUCAAAAAGCAGGUGGAAUUGUUAAAUGUGAGGAAUUAGAAAUUUCUCCUCUUUUAUCAUAUGCUGGAGAAAAUUUGGAAAGUAAAGUUAAAGGAAAGGUGUUUGAUAAAUGUACUGUUAUUCUUUCAGAUGAGGAAGUGGUUGUGAACGGGUUCAAAGGUACAUAAUAUCCAUAUAAUUGUACAAUUUUUGGGAAAAUUAAUACUCACUUUCCAUAGAUUGUUAUUGCAAAUAUCAAAUUAACAUAGGAAAACCCUCAAAUAUUAAGUUCCUGGAUAUUAACCCUCCAAUAGGGUUAAAUACCAAAUUAUUGGCACCUUUAGCAGUAUAUCAGACUAUUAUGUCAAUUUUGGCAUCUUAAAGUAAAAAAAAUUAUACACUUCCUUGAUUAUAAUAUUAUCAACAGUUCUUUUUUAAUACGAACACAGAAAACUACAUUUUUAAAUACAUCUUUUGAAUAAAAAAGAAUAUAUUCCAAUUAUGUCACAUUUCUCAGUUAUUCGCAAUAGAUUCUAGUUGCCUAUUUGAACAUUUUAUUUGUAAAACUUACAAAAAUUGUUGUUCAGUUAGCAUUUAGGGUACCAAGCAUGAAAGUAUGAAGUUCUAUCCAAAAAAUGACAUAAUUUAUAUUAUCACCAGGAUAAUGUGGAACUUCUUAUAAUGAGAAUUUAUUAAUAUUAUUGUUUGUUGUAAUACAUAUUCAUAAACUUGUUGAUAUUUAAAUCUUCUUAUUUCAGGAACUAUUUGAUUUGUCGACAAAUCUAAAUAAUUUGCUCCAUUCAAAUUACCUUCUACAAAUAAGGUUCCAGAAAUUCUGUUUAUAAUUAUACCUGCUUAAACAAUAACUAUUAAAAGCGUUUGUAUUUUAUGCUUCCACGUCAUCCAUUCGGAAUUAGUAUCUACAAUCAUGAAUCACUGUACCAUUGAGCAUAAAUUUAGUGUCAUUGGAAAAUAUUGUCUUACUUGUAAAAUGGAGAUCAGUAUCUGCAUUUUGUAGGGGUGACUGGGACAGGUUGUCUUAGUUUUUAAAAAAUAUUUAGGUGUGAACCAUUUUUGAAAUAAUGAUAUAUUAAUGCUUUGGAAAUACCAUGUUAAAAGUUGGGAAUUUUAUGUUUAGUCAAAGUCCUUUUCUUUUAAUUUGUUAUAAAUGCAAGACAAAUGGAUGUCACAAUAUCUGGAGUUGGUAGUCACAUAUUUUUAAUGAUAAAUAAGUUACAAAACAUCAAAUGGAAUAUCGAAAACAGUUUUUAAAAGAACAAAUUGAAUGUUUAUUUAAAACCAGUCUCUAGUGGCUUGUGCAGGCCAAAUGUGACCAACCAUUGCAGGAUCUGUAACUUAUCCAUUCUUCAUCUGGGAGGCUAUUGGAAAAGGGUCCAAUACAAAUCAAGCAAAAACAUUCUUCAUUAUCACUUUCAGCUUUGAGCAACCUUAUUUUCUUCUUCUAAUUUAUUUUUAACUGGUGUAUCAGUACGUAUUACACGUAACUUCUGAUUCUCGCUUUAGGAUAGGGUCUUAGAUUUUCUGGUGUUAUGAUCUCAACAGGCUGAUUUUUUUGCAUGCAGCUGGGAUUUUGAAUAUCAGUUUUAUCGUAUAUUUUUGCGGAAACAAACCAUCAGACUUUAAAAACUGUUGCUCUACUGGGACUUUCUGAUUCUUACAUGUAAACAACGCUUGGGGUUUCUUCUUGUUUAGGACAAUUGACGCUGGUCUGGUGUUUUCAACGUUUAAGACUGCAGUAUCUGUUCUGUCAGUAACAGAGCUCACAAGACUUUCAGAAUAAUUAAAAACAUUUCUGUUAAAAGGAGACACACCAGCCAUUCUAAACCCAAACACUAUUUUUUGGAGUCAAUGCAAGUGGAUAAGCUAUGGACACCAACGAUGGUAUGUCAUAUAUAGUUGUUUUUCCAAAAACAGAACGAUCAAGUGGUUGGCUUAUUAUAACUGUGGGGAGGAAAAGAAAUCAUUACAUUUUCCUUGGAAAAAUGUAGCCCCUUUAUAUUUAAAUGCAUAAAAUAGUAUAAAAAACAUUCGCUCUUUUAAAUAUGCUGGCUCUUGGUAAGCUUGUUGCUUCUGGCUUUCGAAUAGAUAGUUCUGGAUAACGUUUUAUGAAAUUGCUGAAUCAGUCUGGGCCGGUCAUUUUAUUUUCGCUUGUUUUUAAAGGAUUGACGUUAACAUAUUCAUAGGCUAGUCUGCGGAUUUCUUUGGGAGAUAUUCUAAUAUAUAUUUCAGAAGCUUUAAGAAUAUAUUUAAUUAGUUCUAUUUCAUAAUCGGGAGUAAAAACCAGAUGAUUUUUAAGAUAGCCUAUCCUAACCAAAUUUUCAUCAAAGAGCACAGCUUCUGGAAUUUUUAGCAGUACCUUGCCGGUGUUCGAUCAUUUAUAUUAAAUUCAGUUGCUGAUUUUCCUGAAUAUCUAUUUAACGAACCGAGCAGGUGGUGUGUAUUUCUUUUGAAGUUACGAACCAUAUUUGCCUGAGAAAAAAAUCAGCAUAAACAAUAUUCAUUGUAGAAUGCUGCAAAAGCUGGUUGUCACACGUGACGACAUGCCCCUGUAGAUUUACCCUUAAUAACAGGAUUAUUUCAACCAAUGCAAAUUUAAAACUUACAUUGAAUUAAAGCUAGGUAACCAUUUUCCAUAACACAAAUUUUUUAAAUACCAUGAAAUUUACUGAAAUUCGCCGCUUUUUGUUUCCACUUGGGAGAGCGUAUCCCAUAGACAAUGACUUUCCCCAUUGAAUACAUGCGACUUAUAAACUACCGCCAAUAAUAUUCAGAUUAAGACAAAUCUAUAUUUUGCAGCGUUGCCGUUGUAACAACCAGAGCCCCGAUCUCCCUCUAUCAAAAUUUUAACAAAAUUUCAUUUUGUGAUUAUGAGCAUCUUCAGAUAAUUCUUGUAUUAGCAUUACUUUGUACGAACGGAACUUACUCUUCUUGAUAAUGUUAAGGAAGGAUGCUGUAUGAACAUCAUGCUGUAAUGCAAUUUUCCGAUUGCAUGUACAAGAAUUUUCUAUAAAACUAACAAUAACAUCAAGGAUUUUUUAUCAUUGGUUACUGUAUUUGGUCAACUACUAUUAGGGUAAUUAUUAUUUGAAUCUAUUUUUUUAAUAAUAUUCCAAAAUGCAUUGAAUAAGUGAGCUAUUUCAUGAGUGUAUAUAAUUAGUUCGAUCAGAUACAAAGAACGAAAUAAUGCAUAGAGCAAUGGAGCAUUUGUUGACUGUUGUAUGUGAGGUUGUUGGAUGUGAUUCAGUCCUUGUAGUAGUAACAAUAAUAGAAACGGUUCAGUACUUUUCGAUAUUUUACAUUCGUCCGAUGACGAAGAUGUGGUGCCACCAUUUCCAGAUUACACUUAUUGCACUUUACUGGCUGAUCUGACUCUAGACCCAGUGCAAGCAGUACAGAGAACUGGGUGAACUAGUUCUCUUGCACUGCUACUAAGAACAACGACACUAGCACUGUUUUUGUUACAAAGAACACUUUAUUCUACACUUCCUGAACUAGUCCUGCCACUGCAGCUACCAAGAACAAACCUCAUAAACAAAUUACACUCUUUUGCUACUCGAUUAUACUCUACUUCCACUGUAGUAUGAUUCUCACGGGACGCUGGACUUUAUCGCAACUUUUUACAUUUUGAAUUUAUUAUUAUUUAAAGUAUAAAAUUGUUACAUAGAUUACAAAUUAAUAUCUGGAUCAAAUUACAUUAUUUUUUCACUAUCCAGUGGAUUUUGUUGCUACGUAUCCAAUACUGCUUUUAAAAUAAGAGAUCAAAUUAGUAAUUUUGCGGUGCCCCUACCUGCUUGUCUCUGGGGCUCCAGCCCCUUCCUAGUCCCUCCAUAAAUUCGACGUUUCAGACAACCUAAUAAAAAUUUUGUGUCUCAGUAUUAAUUGUUAUGACAAUAAAAUUGUAUGUAAAAUCAA